UAAUACGGAGGGUGCAAGCGUUAUCCGGAAUCACUGGGUUUAAAGGGUGCGUAGGCUGCUAGAUAAGUCAGUGGUGAAAGCUGGUCGCUUAACGAUGACAUUGCCAUUGAUACUGUUUAGCUAGAAUUGAGUUGAGGUAACUAGAAUGUAACAUGUAGCGGUGAAAUGCUUAGAUAUGUUAUAGAACACCGAUUGCGAAGGCAGGUUACUGGACUUUGAUUGACGCUGAGGCACGAAAGCGUGGGGAGCGAACAGG
RNAcentral lists this ribosomal RNA (256 nucleotides) under uncultured bacterium. Its description in RNAcentral is "partial 16S ribosomal RNA". It matches the Rfam family "Bacterial small subunit ribosomal RNA", at positions 521 to 776 of the family's 1533-position model. The record is from RNAcentral.